CCUUGAAAACCCUGAUGUGGUUGAACAUCAACCACUGUGCAAAGCUUCAUGACAUUCAAAGCCUAGAGGAAUUCUCAUCCUGCAAAAGUAUGUGUAUUAAGGGAUGCAAGUCGCUAGCAAAAUUUUCAGAUGUGUUGGAAUUUGGAAAUUUGAAGCAACUUGAUAAUGACAGUCUGUUGGGAACUUUCAGAUAUCCCAGGGCCCUAAAGAUUGAGAUACCCAGAAACUGUAGAAAUUUCACGAUGCUCGUCAAUCGGGUCUUUACCAGAUUUGUCAGGGUGUUAGAACUUGCAAUUUUUGGUUGCACAACUGCGACAAACUAACUGAGCCUCGAGGGCUUGGAGACUUGGAGCUUCUACGAGCUCUAGAUAUUUCCAGAUGCAGGUCGCUAAAAGCAAUACCUGAAUUGUCUGGAGCUUUCCCUAUACAGAAUUAUCGUAGUUUGUUAGUUAUGAUGUCAAGGAGAUCACGUUCUGGUGAGAGUUGGAUAUUAAACCGAGCAAUGACCCCAAACAAGGAGAAAUCUUAGUCUUGAUAAUGGCAGGAAUGAAGCUGGCAGUCCUGCUGAAUCAUCUGUUCUGGAGGCAAAGUGCAAAAACACACAGGCUAAGAAGAGAGAUCAUACUGCUGGAUUUAUGGCGCUCUCGAUGCCCCAGAAUUCAUCGGGUUCUUUCAAGCCAAUUUCACAGGGUGUGAAUUUGAUAUGCUGCAAGUCUGCGAGAGAAUAGCAGGGCAUACCGAGAGAUGAAGCAUCACUUCCAAGUGGUGGCGGAGAUGUGGUGGUGCCGGUGGUUGAGGCUGGUAGUGAUGGGGAUCCCGAUGGACUAAAGGUCGGGCUGGUAGAAGUUUCACUUAUGGUAACCACUAAUUUUUGGCCCGGAGAGCAACAUUCAGCAUUAGCAAAGGUGUAAACGAAGUAAUACUCGGUAGCGUUGUCGAGGGUGGCCGGUUGGUUGGUUAGGAUGAUGAACGGAGAAGCAGUGUUACAGUUGUCGUUGUCACUCUCUGACACGUUCGUGACGUCGUGCGACCAUGCGUUGAAGUUGAACGCAGCAGAAAUAAUGGAAGAUCGUCGUCAUUAAAGAAAUGAAGCUCGAGAUUGAUUGUUUGGCCACUGGAGCUCGAGAUUGAUUGCACAUAAAAGUAAUAGAAAAUGGACUGGUCGGAGCAAAGUGCUUAAAAAUUAUGACGAGCAAGGGUUUGAUUCCUAUUCCAAGAGCGCCAAACUGCA
Long non-coding RNA from Syzygium oleosum, 1231 nucleotides. RefSeq lists it as uncharacterized. The record is from RefSeq and is a predicted model, not a curated record. The transcript is spliced from 3 exons. Lineage: Eukaryota; Viridiplantae; Streptophyta; Magnoliopsida; Myrtales; Myrtaceae.